RNAcentral lists this ribosomal RNA (449 nucleotides) under uncultured bacterium. RNAcentral's name for it is "bacterial SSU rRNA". It matches the Rfam family "Bacterial small subunit ribosomal RNA", at positions 328 to 793 of the family's 1533-position model. The record is from RNAcentral.
UACCCAGACUCCUACGGGAGGCAGCAGUGGGGAAUAUUGCACAAUGGGGGAAACCCUGAUGCAGCGACGCCGCGUGAGUGAAGAAGUAUUUCGGUAUGUAAAGCUCUAUCAGCAGGGAAGAAAAUGACGGUACCUGAUUAAGAAGCCCCGGCUAACUACGUGCCAGCAGCCGCGGUAAUACGUAGGGGGCAAGCGUUAUCCGGAUUUACUGGGUGUAAAGGGAGCGUAGACGGCAGCACAAGUCUGGAGUGAAAUGCCGGGGCUUAACCCCGGAACUGCUUUGGAAACUGUCAGGCUGGAGUACAGGAGAGGUAAGCGGAAUUCCUAGUGUAGCGGUGAAAUGCGUAGAUAUUAGGAGGAACACCAGUGGCGAAGGCGGCUUACUGGACUGUAACUGACACUGAGGCACGAAAGCGUGGGGAGCAAACAGGAUUAGAUACCCCAGUAUG